UGUCCGAGCUACGAUCGCUAGUGUGACGUCUCUUGCUUAUUGGACUUGUUAUGAUGCAGCACAGACAGUGACACACGCAGGCAUGUCACAUCAAAAGUCAGGGCAUCAAAAACGGAAAGAAAGGAAGGAAAGAGAAGACAGAGAACGCCAAAGUCGACAGUAUGUCACACAGUUUUUCAAAAAGAAAGAAUCAGCGGCUGCUGCACACCCACGUCCUCCUUCCCCCACGUCCCACGUCCCCGUCUUAAUCAGCCGAACAAGGACAUUAUACUUUUCAUAUUUACAACAUCUCGAGAAGCAAAUCUACAACAAUGCGUCACUGUUAUACUUUUCUUCUUGUUGGACUUCUGGUCGUCACAUGGAUCCAGUCUGUUGUAAAGGCCAAUAAUGACAAACUACCAGUUGAAUGCUGCUUUCAGUUUUAUGAAAGAAAAAUCCCGUACGUAAAAAUCAAAUCCUACAAAAUGACGGCAAGUGAAUGUACCAUGGCUGGAGUCAUUUUUACCUCAGUGAAGGACUUUCAAGUCUGUGUGAACCCUUCCGAUAACUGGGUGAAGAAAGUCAUUCAACGAAUUGAUAAAUAGCAGCUGGAAGCAAAGCUUUAGUUCAGUACACAUUUCUUCUAUAAUGAUUUCGUCUUUCUUUGAUUUGUUUUAUGCAUUAUUUUUUGUUAUUAUAAGCAUUAUAUGAUUUGAUACUGCUUUGUUUUGCUUUAAAUUACAAAAGUAUACCUUUUUUAACUAUAGUGUUGUGGUUAAAGUAAUACAUCAAAAGGGAUGAAUGAUCGUUUUCAAUAACUUUAUUUCCCAGUAUUUUCAUAAAUAUAGUAACAUAUCCCUGUUUUUACAUGCAAGUUAGAGUACAUAAUAAAGUCUAUUUUUCUGUGUGAAAACCA
Molecule: long non-coding RNA, 895 nt
Organism: Triplophysa dalaica
Lineage: Eukaryota; Metazoa; Chordata; Actinopteri; Cypriniformes; Nemacheilidae
Exons: 5
Source: RefSeq, a predicted model, not a curated record